UAGGGAAUCUUCCGCAAUGGGCGAAAGCUUGACGGAGCAACGCCGCGUGAGUGAUGAAGGUCUUCGGAUCGUAAAACUCUGUUAUUAGGGAAGAACAAAUGUGUAAGUAACUAUGCACGUCUUGACGGUACCUAAUCAGAAAGCCACGGCUAACUACGUGCCAGCAGCCGCGGUAAUACGUAGGUGGCAAGCGUUAUCCGGAAUUAUUGGGCGUAAAGCGCGCGUAGGCGGUUUUUUAAGUCUGAUGUGAAAGCCCACGGCUCAACCGUGGAGGGUCAUUGGAAACUGGAAAACUUGAGUGCAGAAGAGGAAAGGGGAAUUCCAUGUGUAGCGGUGAAAUGCGCAGAGAUAUGGAGGAACACCAGUGGCGAAGGCGAAUUUCUGGUCUGUAACUGACGCUGAUGUGCGAAAGCGUGGGGAUCAAACAGG
RNAcentral lists this ribosomal RNA (429 nucleotides) under Actinomycetes bacterium. Its description in RNAcentral is "Actinobacteria bacterium partial 16S ribosomal RNA". It matches the Rfam family "Bacterial small subunit ribosomal RNA", at positions 355 to 776 of the family's 1533-position model. The record is from RNAcentral. Lineage: Bacteria; Bacillati; Actinomycetota; Actinomycetes.